Long non-coding RNA from Populus trichocarpa (black cottonwood), 964 nucleotides. RefSeq lists it as uncharacterized. Lineage: Eukaryota; Viridiplantae; Streptophyta; Magnoliopsida; Malpighiales; Salicaceae. The record is from RefSeq and is a predicted model, not a curated record. The transcript is spliced from 2 exons.
UUUGUGAUUUUUAUUUUGCAGAUGGUAUAUGUUACAUACAAGUUGCACAACCAUCCACCUCUCUCCUUUAUUUGUCAUCAACGACCUUUCUCUCUCACUCUCUUCACCACAAAACACACCCAAAACACCAUGGGAUCACCCAUCUCUCUCUAGCUCGAGAUCCCCCCUCCUCACCGUGACUCUACCAAUUUCCGGCUAAAACAUCCACCACCAAUCACCAUCACCAUCCACAUUCUGCAUUUAGAGGACCUCGAGGAAGGUAUGGUUCGAACUAGAGAAGGUUCUACAAUUUCUAAGAGUGCUAACAGACACGACCACCUGGUUGUUGAGGCAGAUCCUGAUGAUAGGUCAUUUCUAUAUAUGCAGGAUCAACAUUGCUAUGAUGAUAUUUAGAGAGGAGAUGUUAGAUCUUUAGAUUACUAGCAUUUUUAAAUAACUAUUUUAAUUAAGCAUUAUAAAUUAUUAAAUUUGAACAACUUUAAUUGUUUAAAUAACUUAAUUACUUGAUUUUCAGGGCGAUGAUCUUGUAACACCUCGAUAGCAUACAUUGAUGAAGGUGCAUGAGUGUGUCCGCCAAUUAGUUAUCGAUGUUGGUUCUUUUAAAGAUUAUUUAGCUACAUGACAUGCAUCUUGACUACACAUUGAUUAUGGCUUUAGUUGAGCAAUGGAGGUGCGGGACACACUCCAAGAUAGAGAUGACACACUCAUGCACCUAUGAUAGGACAUGAAGGGUCGAUUUAUAGAGAUACUUUAUGUGAUCGUCUAUUAGGAUGAGUGCCUCAACUAAUACUUAUAGUGAUGAUUGUAUAAAAUUAACAUGGUUAAACAUACAUUUUAAGACCCCCUCAACAAAUACAAAAAAAGGACUAGUUGAUUAUGUAUGCUCGAGCAUACAUAUUAUAUAUCUUUGGAGGUCUUAAUUUCAUGAGUACUACUGGUAAUGCAGUACCAUUAUUCUUUCUUA